RNAcentral lists this ribosomal RNA (526 nucleotides) under uncultured bacterium. RNAcentral's name for it is "bacterial SSU rRNA". It matches the Rfam family "Bacterial small subunit ribosomal RNA", at positions 1 to 526 of the family's 1533-position model. The record is from RNAcentral.
AUUAGAGUUUGAUCCUGGCUCAGGAUGAACGCUAGCGGCAGGCCUAAUACAUGCAAGACGAACGGUAACUUUGAUAGCAAUAUUGAAGCUAGAGUGUCGUAAGGGUGCGUAACACGUAUGCAAUCUGCCCUCAACAGGAGAAUAGCUCCCCGAAAGGGGAAUUAACACUCCGUAAUAUCUUGGUGAGGCAUCUCAUUAAGAUUAAAACUCCGGUGGUUGAGGAUGAGCAUGCGCAUGAUUAGUUAGUUGGCGGGGUAAUGGCCCACCAAGACGAUGAUCAUUAGGGGAACUGAGAGGUUGAUCCCCCACACUGGCACUGAGAUACGGGCCAGACUCCUACGGGAGGCAGCAGUAGGGAAUAUUGGACAAUGGGUGCGAGCCUGAUCCAGCCAUGCCGCGUGCAGGAAGACGGCCUUCUGGGUUGUAAACUGCUUUUGCCAGGGGAUAAAAAGUCCCUGCGGGGAAAAUUGAAGGUACCUGGUGAAUAAGCCACGGCUAACUACGUGCCAGCAGCCGCGGUAAUAAU